This 253-nucleotide ribosomal RNA is filed under the name uncultured bacterium. RNAcentral's name for it is "partial 16S ribosomal RNA". It matches the Rfam family "Bacterial small subunit ribosomal RNA", at positions 524 to 776 of the family's 1533-position model. The record is from RNAcentral.
UACGUAGGUGGCAAGCGUUGUCCGGAUUUACUGGGCGUAAAGGGCGUGCAGGCGGUUUGUUAAGUCUAGGGUGAAAGCUCCCGGCUCAACUGGGAGAGGUCCUUGGAUACUGGCAGACUUGAGGAGGGUAGAGGAGAGUGGAAUUCCCGGUGUAGUGGUGAUAUGCGUAGAUAUCGGGAGGAACACCAGUGGCGAAAGCGGCUCUCUGGGACGGUACUGACGCUGAGACGCGAAAGCGUGGGGAGCAAACAGG